Molecule: microRNA precursor, 59 nt
Filed under: Mus musculus (house mouse)
Lineage: Eukaryota; Metazoa; Chordata; Mammalia; Rodentia; Muridae
Description: Mmu-Mir-1948_pre stem-loop
Source: RNAcentral
AUAUGAGUAUUCUGCCUAAAUGUGGUGUACGGAUACAUUUAGGCAGAGCACUCGUACAG